Molecule: ribosomal RNA, 440 nt
Filed under: uncultured Glomus
Lineage: Eukaryota; Fungi; Glomeromycota; Glomeromycetes; Glomerales; Glomeraceae
Description: SSU rRNA
Rfam family: Eukaryotic small subunit ribosomal RNA
Source: RNAcentral
AGCAGCCGCGGUAAUUCCAGCUCCAAUAGCGUAUAUUAAAGUUGUUGCAGUUAAAAAGCUCGUAGUUGAAUUUCGGGGUCAGUAGAUUGGUCGUGCCACUGGUAUGCACUGGUCUUACUGGCUCCUCCUUCCUGAUGAACCGUAAUGCCAUUAAUUUGGUGUUGUGGGGAGACUGGACUGUUACUUUGAAAAAUUAGAGUGUUUAAAGCAGGCUAACGCUUGAAUACAUUAGCAUGGAAUAAUGAAAUAGGACGUUCGAUCUUAUUUUGUUGGUUUCUAAGAUUGACGUAAUGAUUAAUAGGGAUAGUUGGGGGCAUUAGUAUUCAAUUGUCAGAGGUGAAAUUCUUGGAUUUAUUAGAAGACUAACUACUGCGAAAGCAUUUGCCAAGGAUGUUUUCUAUUAAUCAAGAACGAAAGUUAGGGGAUCGAAGACGAUCAGA